CUAGAAAAGAAAAUCUAAAACCUGUCCUCCACAAACAAGAUGAACACAAAUGAAAAGAACAAAAAAUGAAUCAAGAAAAAAUGAACAGCAGUUUAGGUAAGAUAUUUUCCUUGGAAAGAAAAUUAUACCAUUCAUCGCCAGUAUCACAUAAAAAAAGUGAACAACUAAAGCUCAUAAAACUUCAUAACAAUCUAAAUCACUAACAUUCAAUACCAAAGACACCAAAAAAACUUCUUUGCUUGGGACAGUCAUGCCCAAUUUCCAAAAUUAUAAGAAUUGAGGAUUCAAAUAGACAAUUUUGGAGAGUUGCAUAAUCAACUUGAUCCUAGACUUGAGUGCACCUGCAACUUCACAAUCUAACAUAGUGGGCAUGUGAGAAUGACAACUGAUCCAAUCUCACCUCCAAGUAAAAUUCAUAAAAUGCACUUCAAAACUUAACUUUGAGGCUUAAUCUAAACUGCAUUCAACAAGAGGAGACAAAACAGGAUGCUAAACAAACAAGCAAAAGCAUAGGCUCAACAACAAAAAAUCAAAUGCAGCAGAAUAUAAAAAGCCCAAAGAUAAAGAAGGACAAGGCUUACCAUAUCUCAAAUCUUCUAUUCCUAAAUAAACUCCCUAAAACCACAAUCACAGCAAAAUAGCAGCAUCGAUCUACUCAAUUCAGUUCCAAUACAUUGUAUGAAAUAGAAAACUAUCCAAAACCCAUAUCAUACUAAUUCUCCUCAAGUAAGAAUUAGUUUAAAAAAAUAAAAUAAAAUAAAAAUUGAGAAAUGAACCUUUUAGCUUCAAUUGUAUAGAUGUAGUUGAAACUUCUUAAAUCAAUCUUUAUCUUGUAACAACGUUCCCAUAUUUGUCAAAUGAAGCCUUCCUCAGUCGCCAUUGGUGACUGAAAAUUAGCCUUUCGUAUUUGGGGUUCAAACGUGUUUUCACAUCAGAUGGGCUGCUUGAAACUUGGCACAACCGACACAGCUGUAGUGAUGGCCAAAUACU
RNAcentral lists this unclassified non-coding RNA (990 nucleotides) under Hevea brasiliensis (rubber tree). The record is from RNAcentral. Lineage: Eukaryota; Viridiplantae; Streptophyta; Magnoliopsida; Malpighiales; Euphorbiaceae.